RNAcentral lists this ribosomal RNA (407 nucleotides) under uncultured bacterium. RNAcentral describes it as "bacterial SSU rRNA". It matches the Rfam family "Bacterial small subunit ribosomal RNA", at positions 355 to 776 of the family's 1533-position model. The record is from RNAcentral.
UGGGGAAUUUUCCGCAAUGGGCGCAAGCCUGACGGAGCAAGACCGCGUGAGGGAGGAAGGUUCUUGGAUUGUAAACCUCUUUUCUCUGGGAAGAACAAAAUGACGGUACCAGAGGAAUAAGCAUCGGCUAACUCCGUGCCAGCAGCCGCGGUAAGACGGAGGAUGCAAGCGUUAUCCGGAAUGAUUGGGCGUAAAGCGUCCGCAGGUGGUUUUUCAAGUCUGCUGUUAAAGACCGGGGCUUAACUCCGGGCAGGCAGUGGAAACUGAAAGACUAGAGUAUGGUAGGGGCAGAGGGAAUUCCUGGUGUAGCGGUGAAAUGCGUAGAUCUCAGGAAGAACAUCGGUGGCGAAGGCGCUCUGCUAGGCCAUAACUGACACUCAGGGACGAAAGCUAGGGGAGCGAAUGGG